AUUGAACGCUGGCGGCAUGCCUUACACAUGCAAGUCGAACGGUAACGGGCCUUCGGGUGCCGACGAGUGGCGAACGGGUGAGUAAUGUAUCGGAACGUACCUUUCAGUGGGGGAUAACGUAGCGAAAGUUACGCUAAUACCGCAUAUUCUGUGCGCAGGAAAGCAGGGGGAUCGCAAGACCUUGCGCUGAUUGAGCGGCCGAUAUCAGAUUAGCUAGUUGGUGAGGUAAAGGCUCACCAAGGCGACGAUCUGUAGCGGGUCUGAGAGGAUGAUCCGCCACACUGGAACUGAGACACGGUCCAGACUCCUACGGGAGGCAGCAGUGGGGAAUUUUGGACAAUGGGGGCAACCCUGAUCCAGCCAUGCCGCGUGAGUGAAGAAGGCCUCGGUUGUAAG
Molecule: ribosomal RNA, 396 nt
Filed under: uncultured bacterium
Lineage: Bacteria
Description: bacterial SSU rRNA
Rfam family: Bacterial small subunit ribosomal RNA
Source: RNAcentral